Long non-coding RNA from Columba livia (rock pigeon), 516 nucleotides. RefSeq lists it as uncharacterized. NCBI's taxonomy places the organism in Eukaryota, Metazoa, Chordata, Aves, Columbiformes, Columbidae. The transcript has 4 exons. The record is from RefSeq and is a predicted model, not a curated record.
AAGCUUCAGGGGCACCCACAGACAGUGUAGGGGUGCAGAGAAGCUCCCAGAAUGCCUACAGUCAGAUCUGAUCAGCCAGUAUAAAAACGGGACUCUCGUCGAGACUCCGCCCAUUGUCACGGGUCUCUCGGAGCACGAGCAAGAUGCUGCCGCUGAGAGCCCCCCUCCCCGGGAUGGGGACUCCGCUUGCCUUGCCGCCACGUGUAGCUCUUAGGAAUCCCUGCAAGUGCAAAAAAAACUGUCAGACCUGAGAGAGCCAGCUAAAACAGCUGCAAGCAUCCUCACUUUAAACUGUGACACCUGAGUGGAAAUUAAUUUGGAAGUCACCAUAAUAGCUUGAUGAAGUUGGGCAGAUUAGUCCUACCAGCUGUUUCAUCUCAUUCUAAUACAAAUUUUCUGGAAUUCAAUUAAAGGGGGUAAAGAGUUUGUAUGCUCUUGAAAAGAAGAUAGCCACUUCAGCGGCUGCAUAAAGAAGCCUCUACAGUUUGGUAAAAUAAAAUCAAUUUGUUACCUGAA